GAAAUCUAAGCAGAGACCAUAAAGGCUUUCAGGACUACACAAUGAUACAUCCGUUGCUAGGAUUUCAACUCCCUAAAAACGACAUUUUUCUUCGCUGAAGAAUUCAUGUGUACACCAGACUAGGCACUACAAUAGACUGGAUAUCACUUCUAGUUGUCAAUGUGGUCAUGCAUCCGUAGCUUUUUAAAGAUGGCCACACUCUUGUUCCACUUUGACACACAUUCAGAGGCUACCGCGGUGUGUAAUCUGUUUGGCUUUGGGAUCCUUUCCUCAGAACUCAUAAAGGUUUAGUAUCAGGAAAGGCUUCUGUUGAAUUUUUUUUAAUUUUAUUUUGUUUUUCAAGUUUUCUUAUCAUAUCUACAGAAGAACAAGAAUUCUCCGAAAGAACAGCUCAUUUCUUAGAAUUCCCUGCUCUGUUUCUCCACCUGCGAGGUUGCGGCUAACGCCCUCUCUUACCUGCACUGGCCUGGUGGAAGUCGGCUUCCUCCCCUGCCCCGUCGAUGGCACUGGCGUUUUCCUCGGGCCUCUCAUUCGUCAUGGUCCUCCGGAUGCUCUGAUAACUGAAAGCAUGAACCUGGAGUUACAUGCCAGCCGCCGGAAGUUGCCCUAGAACCCAAAGUUCCAGGCCUCUCGACUUCAAGUGCUGGCUCCCAGGCUUCCGUCCUCCGCCUCAGGAUGCUCUCUGUCGCUUACAUGAAUGACGCCUCAUUGAAGUUCCGCCCUCCCAUGAGGAAUCCAGUUCAGUCUAUGACACACACAGCUCUGUGACCGGGACAUCAAAGCUGAAAGCAGCCGAGUCUUCUCCUCUGCACCGGGGGAAAAGCCCAACCACGAGACGGAGCAGAGAGAGAGUAUUUAGGGACAUGCUCACCGACGGUUCAGCUGUUCCAUCUGCUGGAUGGAGUUGGAUCUCUGCAGGACCUGGGGGGCGGGGGGAGCGGUGGGCCGCUGCCACGUCGUGGUUCUGUUCACAUGAUCCACGUAGAAGAUCCUGCCAUGGCUGUCAAUGCGGGCCUCCCAGUCUAAAGGGCAGGAAGGGCACAGAGAGAGAUGAGGAGGAGGAGCUGGGCCAGGAAGAUGGCUCAUUAAGUUCGGCGCAAGUUUUCCCUCCCUUGCACGCUAUAAUUUGUGGCUAAUAACACACACCUCACUGCGUAGUCUGGCGUUCCUCCCCAGUCCACUUGGAAAGCUGUCGUUACUGGUUAUUAAGUCUCCGAGGCACGGAGGAUACAGAACUCUUCAAGAAUUUCUAAAUCUAAAGCAUCUUUUCAUGUUGCCCGCCCUCGUCCCUCUUUACAUGUAAGCACCUGUUUUAAAAUGCAGGUGGUAUCGUUUUUUGAUCGUUUCACAUCAAAAAUGGUAUCGGUGUUUCCUUUCCACCCA
Myodes glareolus (Bank vole) is the source of this 1383-nucleotide non-coding RNA. Lineage: Eukaryota; Metazoa; Chordata; Mammalia; Rodentia; Cricetidae. The record is from RefSeq and is a predicted model, not a curated record.